UACGUAGGGUGCAAGCGUUGUCCGGAAUUAUUGGGCGUAAAGAGCUCGUAGGCGGUGUGUCGCGUCGGCCGUGAAAACCUGCAGCUUAACUGUGGGCUUGCGGUCGAUACGGGCAUGACUGGAGUUCGGCAGGGGAGACUGGAAUUCCUGGUGUAGCGGUGAAAUGCGCAGAUAAUCAGGAGGAACACCGGUGGCGAGGGCGGGUCUCUGGGCCGAUACUGACGCUGAGGAGCGAAAGCGUGGGGAGCGAACAGGA
RNAcentral lists this ribosomal RNA (256 nucleotides) under uncultured bacterium. RNAcentral describes it as "partial 16S ribosomal RNA". It matches the Rfam family "Bacterial small subunit ribosomal RNA", at positions 524 to 777 of the family's 1533-position model. The record is from RNAcentral.